GAGUUUGAUCAUGGCUCAGAUUGAACGCUGGCGGCAUGCCUUACACAUGCAAGUCGAACGGCAGCACGGGAGCUUGCUCCUGGUGGCGAGUGGCGAACGGGUGAGUAAUGCAUCGGAACGUAUCCUGGAGUGGGGGAUAACGUAGCGAAAGUUACGCUAAUACCGCAUAUUCUGUGAGCAGGAAAGCGGGGGACCUUCGGGCCUCGCGCUCUUGGAGCGGCCGAUGUCGGAUUAGCUAGUUGGUGAGGUAAAGGCUCACCAAGGCGACGAUCCGUAGCAGGUCUGAGAGGAUGAUCUGCCACACUGGAACUGAGACACGGUCCAGACUCCUACGGGAGGCAGCAGUGGGGAAUUUUGGACAAUGGGGGCAACCCUGGAUCCAGCCAUGCCGCGUGAGUGAAGAAGGCCUCGGUU
Molecule: ribosomal RNA, 414 nt
Filed under: bacterium enrichment culture clone ALO1_GLFRUDD03FYPIV
Lineage: Bacteria
Description: bacterial SSU rRNA
Rfam family: Bacterial small subunit ribosomal RNA
Source: RNAcentral